Molecule: ribosomal RNA, 468 nt
Filed under: uncultured bacterium
Lineage: Bacteria
Description: partial 16S ribosomal RNA
Rfam family: Bacterial small subunit ribosomal RNA
Source: RNAcentral
GACGAACGCUGGCGGCGUGCUUAACACAUGCAAGUCGAACGGAAAGGCCCUGCUUUUGUGGGGUGCUCGAGUGGCGAACGGGUGAGUAACACGUGAGUAACCUGCCCUUGACUUUGGGAUAACUUCAGGAAACUGGGGCUAAUACCGGAUAGGAGCUCCUGCUGCAUGGUGGGGGUUGGAAAGUUUCGGCGGUUGGGGAUGGACUCGCGGCUUAUCAGCCUGUUGGUGGGGUAGUGGCUUACCAAGGCUUUGACGGGUAGCCGGCCUGAGAGGGUGACCGGCCACAUUGGGACUGAGAGACGGCCCAGACUCCUACGGGAGGCAGCAGUGGGGAAUAUUGCACAAUGGGCGGAAGCCUGAUGCAGCAACGCCGCGUGCGGGAUGACGGCCUUCGGGUUGUAAACCGCUUUCGCCUGUGACGAAGCGUGAGUGACGGUAAUGGGUAAAGAAGCACCGGCUAACUACGUG